Long non-coding RNA from Papaver somniferum (opium poppy), 2086 nucleotides. RefSeq lists it as uncharacterized. The record is from RefSeq and is a predicted model, not a curated record. Lineage: Eukaryota; Viridiplantae; Streptophyta; Magnoliopsida; Ranunculales; Papaveraceae. The transcript is spliced from 8 exons.
GAAAAAUAAAAUGGAACUUUUAAAUGUUCUUCACAGAGAAACUGCAAUAAUCUCACCAGUAGAUGAUAUGAGAAGGAUGACUGGAUUGAUGAGACGACUUGGAAAUCCUUAAUCAAGAUUUAAGUCUGUGCACAUUGCUGGUACUAAGGGAAAAGGGUCAACUGCGAAGUUUCUCUCCGAUAUUUUAUGGCAAGAAGGGUAAUCGGUUGGAUGUUACACUAGCCCGCAUCUUUAGAAUAUCGGAGAAUGUGUUCUGUUACGAAGAAAUGGAGAGCCAGUAUCAGCAGAGUCAUUGAAUUCUCUUUUUCUCCGAAUCAGGAUAAUCUGGACCAGUCAAUUGAAUUAUAAAUGGAUUUAUGAGCCAUUUUGAGGUAUUAAUGGGUUCUCACUGCUGUAGCAUUCACCCUGUUUUCUCAAGAGAAUGUUGAUAAUGCAGAAAUCGAGGCUCUGUAUUCCCCUGCAGAAUUAUUCAUGACAGGUCCAAUACCUGGCAAGUUAGUGUUCUUGUCGAAAGAAGCAUCACUAUAUAUUAUUGCACAAUCAUCUGGAAGGUUGUUAAGUACUGAUGCUGAUGCUGAUGCAGAUAAUUUUAGAUGUAGAGCUAUCAUUGAUGGUCUGUGUACGUUUAGCAUUCAGAUACAACUCAGUGUCAAAAACUAAUUUCAGUGCCAGUCUAGCAGUGGCAUGGUGAUUGAUAGCUUUUCCUUGGAAUACUUGGAAACAUCUGUCUCUCCAUAUGCUCCAGGCUAUAGUGAAAACAGCACAAACCUUAUCUUGGUACAGUCUAUUUCAUAACCACUUGUUGAUCCAACAUCUUGCAUGAUAAGAGAUCCAUAAGGAGUAACGGACUAUACAUCUUUAGAAAAUUGACAAUGUGUUCAGUAGUCUUAAUGAAAUUUCAUUACACAUACUACAAGUAGAAUCGUGACUAGCUAUGUAGUUGGAGAGUUUGGAUUUGGUUGGCAAGAUGUUUUCUUGGCAUUUCCAGAUGAAGAGUUGUACUUUUGGAAGUAUUGGAAGCUUCGACAAAGCCUUACAGACAAGAGUGGUAGCCUGAGGGUUCUGGAUAUGGAUGUUUUCACCAGAAAUGAGCUUGUGGUUCAUGGUGAAUUGGCAGGAGUCUAACAGACACAUCAGUUGACAUACCCAGAUGUACCUGUGACCUUUGCAGUAGCAAUGGCUAAUGACAAAGACCAUUUAGCAUUCGGGAAACAACUUCUUUCAGGAGUUGAGGUAGAACACCAGAUAUUGUUGUACAGACAGAAAUCAACAUAGCUGGAGGGCUACUUCAGCGUCCUUGUUAAAGGAAUCCCGGGUUCGAGUGCCACAGAAAUGAGUAUUUUUGAGAUAUCGGGAUUGGAGGCGAGACCAAGUUUCUGGUGGAGGAACAAGGGAAACGCAUAGCUGCUGAAAGCUAGAUUAGUAGACAGUCAACAGUGUCUCAUUGCGGUCACUGGCUCUCUUCAUAUUGUUUCAUCCCUUUUAGCACCUCUCCAGAGGUAGAAACGAGGAUUGCACGUGUAAUAUGCUUGAAUCAAAAGCCUGUUUGCCCACGCAACUCAGAUCUUCCCUUCUUAGUGUAGCUCGUGGUACCACAGCAAAAGUGAAAUUCACUUGCAUGGGUAAAAUGAAAAAAGAAAAAAUCACUCAUCUGGUAAUUUUUUGAUUAUUCUGUUAGAACUGGACAGUGAUAGAGGUGGAAUGGUUGAUACCUAAAUUUCCACUCUCUGAAAUUUGUAGGUCCAGUCCAGUUAUAUAACUGUAUUCCAUUGUAUUGUCAUUUCACUAACUAGAUCUAGAUGUAGAAGACUUAAAUGUUGAAUCGUAAUAAGGUGGUGCAUGCUCCUGUCUGGACACCCUACGACACCACGCUACAACCAGCGGACAAGUGUGAGUGACACAGGUGGGGGCGUGUUUCCGAUCUUAUUUCUGUUAAAUGUUUUCAUUAGAUCCCGACAGUUAAACAACAACACCAACUGAUAUUAACACAGAGUUGCUUUCCUAGAGAUUCUUCUUCUUGUAGUUGUUCAGUUGUUGUUCUCAUGGGAUGGAAUGGAAUUUCAUGGGUGUUAUUAUUGUUAAUGAA